CGAAGGGGGGCUAGCGUUGUUCGGAAUUACUGGGCGUAAAGCGCGCGCAGGCGGUCCUUCAAGUCAGAGGUGAAAGCCCAGAGCUCAACUCUGGAACGGCCUUUGAGACUAGAGGACUAGGGUAUGGGAGAGGUGAGUGGAAUUCCGAGUGUAGAGGUGAAAUUCGUAGAUAUUCGGAAGAACACCAGUGGCGAAGGCGGCUCACUGGCCCAUUACCGACGCUCAGGCGCGACAGCGUGGGGAGCAAACAGGAUUAGAUACCCUGGUAGUCCACGCCGUAAACGAUGGAUGCUAGCCGUUGGUAAGCAUGCUUAUCAGUGGCGCAGCUAACGCAUUAAGCGUCCCGCCUGGGGAGUACGGCCGCAAGGUUG
Molecule: ribosomal RNA, 371 nt
Filed under: uncultured organism
Description: bacterial SSU rRNA
Rfam family: Bacterial small subunit ribosomal RNA
Source: RNAcentral